UACGUAGGGUGCAAGCGUUGUCCGGAAUUAUUGGGCGUAAAGAGCUCGUAGGCGGUCUGUUGCGUCGGCUGUGAAAACCCGGGGCUCAACCCCGGGCCUGCAGCCGAUACGGGCAGACUAGAGUUCGGCAGGGGAGACUGGAAUUCCUGGUGUAGCGGUGAAAUGCGUAGAUAUCUGGAGGAACACCGGUGGCGAAGGCGGCAUCCUGGACCGGUAUUGACGCUGAGGAGCGAAAGCCAGGGGAGCAAACAGG
Molecule: ribosomal RNA, 253 nt
Filed under: uncultured bacterium
Lineage: Bacteria
Description: partial 16S ribosomal RNA
Rfam family: Bacterial small subunit ribosomal RNA
Source: RNAcentral